RNAcentral lists this ribosomal RNA (253 nucleotides) under uncultured bacterium. RNAcentral describes it as "partial 16S ribosomal RNA". It matches the Rfam family "Bacterial small subunit ribosomal RNA", at positions 524 to 776 of the family's 1533-position model. The record is from RNAcentral.
UACGUAGGGGGCAAGCGUUGUCCGGAUUUAUUGGGCGUAAAGAGCGUGUAGGCGGCCAGGUAGGUCCGUUGUGAAAACUGGAGGCUUAACCUCCAGCUGUCGAUGGAAACCAUCUGGCUAGAGUCCGGAAGAGGAGAGUGGAAUUCCUGGUGUAGCGGUGAAAUGCGCAGAUAUCAGGAAGAACACCCGUGGCGAAGGCGGCUCUCUGGGACGGUACUGACGCUGAGGCACGAAAGCGUGGGGAGCAAACAGG